CCAGACUCCUACGGGAGGCAGCAGUGGGGGAUAUUGCACAAUGGGGGGAACCCUGAUGCAGCGACGCCGCGUGGGUGAAGAAGCGCCUCGGCGUGUAAAGCCCUGUCAGCAGGGAAGAAAAUGACGGUACCUGAAGAAGAAGCCCCGGCUAACUACGUGCCAGCAGCCGCGGUAAUACGUAGGGGGCAAGCGUUAUCCGGAUUCACUGGGUGUAAAGGGAGCGUAGACGGCGACGCAAGUCUGGAGUGAGAGCCCGGGGCCCAACCCCGGGACUGCUCUGGAAACUGCGUCGCUGGAGUACGGGAGGGGCAGGCGGAAUUCCUGGUGUAGCGGUGAAAUGCUUAGAUAUCACGAAGAACCCCGAUUGCGAAGGCAGCCUGCCGCAGCGUUACUGACGCUGAAGCUCGAAAGCGCGGGUAUCGAACAGGAUUAGAUACCCUUGUAUC
This 446-nucleotide ribosomal RNA is filed under the name uncultured bacterium. RNAcentral describes it as "bacterial SSU rRNA". It matches the Rfam family "Bacterial small subunit ribosomal RNA", at positions 331 to 795 of the family's 1533-position model. The record is from RNAcentral.